Molecule: long non-coding RNA, 2580 nt
Filed under: Homo sapiens (human)
Lineage: Eukaryota; Metazoa; Chordata; Mammalia; Primates; Hominidae
Description: HSALNT0338571
Source: RNAcentral
ACUUCCUGCAUCGCCACCAAUGUGGCCCAGGCCACCAGCCCCCGUGACACUGCAGCCAUCCCCUUUGCUCCCCGUCGUGGCCUCCCGACCGAGCAGCCAGAGUGACCCCGAAAGCCUAAAUCAGCCUGCGGCGCCCUCACCCGUCCUCCAGCUGCCAUCGCCUCCUGGGUGAAGAGGACGCAGCUGGUGACGCGCACUGACGUCCUGCAAGGCCCGCUCCAGGUGCGCCACCUUUGACUGGCAUGCUGAAAGGACAAAGGGACGGAGGCAUUUUACCGGAGAGGACAUCCAUGGGGCCCAGCAGGUCAAAUUCCUUUCUCUAAGUAUGGGAGACAUUUUUAAAAAUAAUGGAGUCCUCCAGGGCCGGCUGCGUGCUGUGGCCUGUGCUCCUCACUGCUUUGGACCCAGGCUGCGCUGUCUCCACCACGACCAAGGACUCACAGAGCUCGCCUGGGGGACCUGGCCCCACAGUCACCCCGUCCGUCAUCAGCCUCAAAUGCCAUCAGCCCGUGAAUGCUGCUCCAUCGUCUGCAUGGCAGCCAAGGAGGUCUCUGCUCCUAAAGCACCUGGGAGCCCUUGGUGAGGGGGGAGUGGGGCAGGGAAGGAGAUGCUGGGGCCCAGCUCUGCUGCUGUGGAUUGUUACAGUGGCCUGGGCCUCUACUCCCGCCUCUGUCCUACCAGGAUGGUGCCAGGUGAUGUGGCGAUGAGUGGGCAUCGCGUGGGGGCCUUGGACGAGCGUGGACACCCCAAUCCCCAGACUGGCCAUUGCCGUGGAGGCAGCGUGAGUGUGACAUGGAGCUCGGUGUCGUGCUGCAGAGGACGCCUCGCGGCUGUACGCGUCAUGAUAGCCAGGGACCCCUCCACAUGUCACUUAGCCAAAGGAUGCAGCCCAGCCUGGGGCUUUCUACCCCAGGCCCGAGGACCUGCAGGGACAAGGACCCCUCAGCGCAGAUGCAGCUCUCAUGAGGCCUGAAACCAAGCUGGACUUGCAGAACUGCGCACGCUCCCUUUCUGAAAGAAACACCCGUUACCGGGUCCAGACUGAAUGUGGGCGUAAGAAAGCGGGAAGGGUCCCCCACAGCAAGAGAGAGACCCUCCCAGUCACUUGGUCAUCUGAGCCUUGAGUGUGUCCGGCCCCAGCCACCAGCCUGUCCCCACUAUCCCUCUUGUCAGCACGGCUGAAAGGAGCUGCCUGGGCACCUGAGGUGGCUGAGGCUCAUCUUUGAGGAGCAUGGAACUCGAGGGGAGAAGUCGCGCCCCCAGGGAAGCCAGGAAACUCUGACACAGAACGCCCAACGUGGACACAGGUGCCAGUUCAGCAGUGACCGUCAAGACCGGGGAAGUGCCCUGUGGUGACCAGGAGAACAAGGAGCUCCUCCAGCAAGCAGGGCUGCAGUGGGAGCUGGGAGGGAGCAGUGCACCUGCCAGCGUGGCCGAGUCACACAGUGCCUGCCCUCACCUGUGGAAUUUGGUGUCAGCUAAAAGGAAGAAGAAAUGGAAACUUAAAUUCUAGCCGGUCAUUUUCUUAAAACUGCAAACAUUUCUCUCGAGUGUGGACUGGCCCGGCUUCGGUGAAAGGUGCCCUCCUACCUAGCAGGGUCUCGGCACUCUGCUGUGUUCUUUGCACCGCGGUCACUAUUUCAGAAACACGGUCCUGAUACUCAUCCUGAUAAUCUCUUAAGAGCGCCCGAGAAGAAGAAUGAAACGCCUGUAUAUCCUGGUUAAGUUUCUAUAAAAUAAGAACAUACACGAUUCAUAAAAUUAUAUGAUUAAUGAUCACAGUAUAAUUACAUAAGAAUUUGUUAUAUAUGUUUCUAUAGAAUAAUAACAUACCCACACAAUUAAUAUAAGGGAUAUGUUGUUAACUGGAAGGGUGUAAAGCAGAAGUUCUUCGGCCCGGGCCUGUCGAUGCCCGCCAGGACUGUUUUCAUGCUGCCUGUGCCUCGGCUCACUUACAGAAGUUCUGACUCAAUACAUCUGGGAUUUCUACUUUCAAAGCAGUACAUGUGAUUUUAUGCCCUUAAAGUAUUUAAGAAACAGAAAGUCAAGUGUUUCACCAAUUUCCGUAGGAAGGGCCGCUCACUGCACGGUGGGGCGAUGCUGGGCGCGAGCCGUGUUUCCGUCUAUUGUUGACUUCCUCACGAUGCUGGCUCAGGCUCAGAGCCUCUCAUCACCGCCUGUGAAAUGGGGACCACCCUCCUAAUCUACUAUCCAGACCUGCCUUCUGGAAGCUCAAUUAUCACGAGCACAUGGUGGAAAACGUGGGCCGGUGAAAACAACUUAACAUGUAAAUGUACAUAAUAAAAUUCCAGGCACAAUACAUAUGAACGCUUUUAGAGAACUUUGGGAGCAAAGCAACUGAUGUCCUGCGUGGAAAGUCCUCUUCUCCCCAUGAAAUUAUCUCAAGGAUCUUCCAUGGGAAGAUGUGACAGAACCAGGACACUACUGCUUAAUAUUUAAUAUCAGAUACUCUUAAAUCACAGGAGCAUAACUAAAGUAUUCUUCGUUUCUUUAGUCAAAUCUCCUUUUCUAUAAAAUGGAGACGGCUUUCAUAUGUUUGGGAAACAUUUUAAUAACGAA